GCACCAAAUCAAAACGGACAUCUGGAAAUGACUCUAGAGGCUUUAUUUUAGAAGGCGACUACUAUGAUAAUGAAAAAUUAAUAGCAUUUCAAGUUUAGCAGUGGAGAUUUGAUCCCUUGUUCAGUUUUAUUCAAGUGGUUUUUGCCACUGCUUUGCCAAAUAACUUGUUUUGCUGGCACAUAUGGUUCACUUAUAGCUUUAGUAAAAUAGGGGAAAACACUGAAAUACCACAGCAAAAGUAAUUUUCCAAUAUAUUUUAAAACUACACAGGCUUAGUUAGAACAGCCACACAUUAACAGAGGCUUAAAAUAAGAUCUGCUAUGAUCACUAAAUAGAAGAAGCAUAGAAUUAUUUGUACUGACUGCUUAAAAGUGCAUAAGAAAUUAUAGGUGAAGAAUGACUUUUCUAACACCCUGCUGUCAUAUGAACGAAAGCAGUAAGAAUGUUUAGAGGCAGAAAUGCAGUACAGGAAGACAAGUUUAACAAGAGUAAAUUAGAUGCAGGCGAUAGAUAUCCCCAGUAUUAGGGUAGACUUUGUGGAUUUCUGCUGUCCCACAGCACAUUCUUGAGUGUUCGCCCCAUGCUUCCUUGUUUUUUAAAAUGUAUUUUGACUCAGUGUGCAUAGAUGCCCUUGACUGGGCCAUGCUCCCACAAGACGCACUGGGUGGGGCAGGAGCCCAUGUUAUCUUGGGAGAAGAUACUCUCUGGGUCACAUGUGGUUGGCCCCCCUCCCCCCUCCAUUUACUUAUUCCCUCCACUCUAAGUGUUUUUGACUAUUGAUGCAAGGAACAGUACCCUGCGGAAGAAGGAAGCAGAGGCAGGAUCCAAAAGCAUCUAGCAGAGGAGGAUGCUGUUUUGGAAGCAGGGGUGUAUGAUUUGCGGUUGCCCAAAGCAAAUUUUGAGGUGGGCACCAUCAAUUCCUUUUUAAAAAUGAAUUUAUGAUGUCAAGCUAAAUGAGCUGAGAAAAGGGAACCAGCAACAAUCUUCACCGUGGAAUUAAAAGCCAACUAAUGAGGCUGCAGAACUACGGAAACCCAGGGAAGGCAACAGUCCCUGUGAAGUACCAUUCAUAAAGGAAGGCUAAGGGCAAGCCGCCCAGCCAAUCACAAGCAUGCACUCUGCCGCUGUUCUUCUGAGCCUGAACUGCUAGUAAGUAGGUCCGUUUGCUAGCUGCGUGUACUGUGCUCUCUGUUUGCUUUAUAUGAUGCUGCCUUUAUACAGGCUCCAAGGUUAAGAACUGCAGAUUACAGAUUGAACUUGAGCUGCCUGUCCACAGGUCAGAGUUUGCAAAGAGCCCCCACCCCGUUUAGAUUCCUAUCCAACCUCAAGAAAGACCCUCUUUUCCCGGUCACCUUAUAUUCAGUUACCCUUGCAACCUUCCAAACCCCCAGUCUCUGAUCACACCUCAGGGCAAUGCGGGAGGACAGUUCUCUUGCAUUGCCAAUGGCUCUCAAUGGAGUUGUUUCUUAAUGGCCCUAGCUUGGCCAGGUCGUUUUGCAUAGGCUAGCCCAGGAAUUUCUCUGCAGCUUGUUGUUCUCCCACAUAAUCAAAAUCCUACCAUGUAUUAAUUUCUGGGGUUUAGAGCCCCAUCAAAUCUAUAACAAUAUUAAUUUGUUCCAGUGAGCAUAUGGCUAGUGCUCAAAGCCAGAACCAUAGCAAAAGAAACAAACAAAACCCCCUGACAAAUAGUGAAAAUUGUAAAUAUUCACUUUGAAAGAGUAAAACCAUAAUACAAAAGAAACUAAAUUAUUACAUUAAAAAGUGAAGCAAUUACAAUGGUCGUAAUGUGAUCACUAAAUUUGCCCAAUUAAAUUUAAAGCAUAAUCACAUAGUCACAAAAUCAAAAAAGUGUACUUGAUACAAAAAAGGAAGAAGUGCACAUAUACCCUACCAUAGUAUUUUAUGGAGUUUACCACACAGUUACUCAACAAUGCAAAAUGUUAGAUUUUGGGUAAACUGUCCAUGUCAAAGGAUGGGUUCUCUUUUGUAGGAGUGCAAAUAUCCAGGGUGUGGGGUCAGGUGGGAUUACUAUGAGGAAUUAUAAAAUAUGCAUCAAGCCAUUGUGUCCACGAUGAAUGCAUUGUGUUGACUGGGUUUAAUUCAUUGACAAUAAUUUCUGUCCAAAUCCCACAACCCUCUGCAUCUCUGGCCAUUUCCUCUACUGUCCAUUUCUCUUUCUUGACAAGUCACGUAUGCAGCCCAGUUGCUUCCAGUUGCUUCACCAGGCAGGCAUCCCUGGCCAUAAAGAUAGUGGGCAAGUUUCUUUGAUGUAGCUUUUCUGAUAUGUUAAUCUUAGGAUGUUAAUCUUAGGGCCAGGAAACAGGUCUCACAUAAAGGUGAUAAUGAUCGCUGUCCUCCUGGCCAUCCUUCUUAUCAUGUAUAUUGCUUGUUUAUGACCUCAGGGGUUGCCGAAUGCACUCCUUUGUAGUUCUGUUUUGUUUACCCCAGAAAAAGCUACUCUCCAUUCUUCUGCCCCAACGCUAGAUUUCAAGCAUAAAAUAGAGUUAGAUACAAAUUGCACCAAAUCAAAACGGACAUCUGGAAAUGACUCUAGAGGCUUUAUUUUAGAAGGCGACUACUAUGAUAAUGAAAAAUUAAUAGCAUUUCAAGUUUAGCAGUGGAGAUUUGAUCCCUUGUUCAGUUUUAUUCAAGCGGUUUUUGCCACUGCUUUGCCAAAUAACUUGUUUUGCUGGCACAUAUGGUUCACUUAUAGCUUUAGUAAAAUAGGGGAAAACACUGAAAUACCACAGCAAAAGUAAUUUUCCAAUAUAUUUUAAAACUACACAGGCUUAGUUAGAACAGCCACACAUUAACAGAGGCUUAAAAUAAGAUCUGCUAUUGAGGCAUCUAAUCAAGAUCUGCUUUGAGCUUAAAAAAAUAUAUUUGUAAAUAUUUAUAUCUCUCAUGCCAGGGAGAGACCAGCUGAAUACUCUGGCAGCUGUUUAUCUUCCUGUUCAAAGGCCCCAUUGUAUUUCAGGGUUGUAAAAAGUAUUUCAGGGUUGUAAAAGGAAAUUAGAGGCUGGGAGCAAAAGGUCACACUGACCAUACAAAUUACAGAAUACAAUCAAGCUGCAAAAACACAAUUAAGAGCUGGUAAAUAGUGAAAUUUAUUGUUUAACAGAAGACUCGAGCCAUAUUUUCAUAAGGUUAAAGGGUAAAUUUAAGUUGCUUUUAGAAACAGCAGCUGGUUAGGGAAAAAGGCUUCUCUCUGAAGCUGCUCUGAAGCUUCAGAGAAUUUAGAGAACUUAGAGAACUUAGCUUUUACUAAGUUCCUUUUAAUUUGAAAAGGCCUUUCCUUCUAAAAAUCUAUCUAUGUUAUGUAUGAAAUAUAUUGGCUUAAAUGUAAUUAUGCAAAGGAUUUAGAAAGUAAGAAAUGUUAGAUUCUUAUGUUAGAUUCUUAUUAUGGUGUGUGAGAAGGUGAACUCAAGAUCUCUUUAAGAUAAAAAAUUAAAAACCAUGCACCAUCUGCUUUAGCCAUCUGGUUUGCAGUGAAUAGGGCAACAGGGGCCAAAGGUUAUCUGGUAAUUGAGGUGCCUGGUCGAGGUAAAUGUAAGAUAUAUGGCUACUUGUCUGCCAUUUAUGGAUACAAGGAAAUAUAGCUCUUUGUCUCCCAUAAAAGGAAAUAGGAAAUGGGUGUAUCUUUUAUGAUUGGUUCUAGCAAACAACCAAUAGGAAUUUCAACCAGGCUGAUUGGACAGAGGCAGCCAAAGGAGGAGCAAGGGGGCUGGGCUGAGGAAAUAUAAGUGCUGGCCAUCAGGGCUGGAGUAGGCAGAGCUUUGGUAUCCAUAUACCACUGUGUCUCUCAUUUAUUUGUCUGACAAAUAAAUUAUUAUUUUAAUUUCUCUAUUGCUGCGUUGAAUAUUUCAUUCCAGCUAAGCGUUAACCACAAGCAGGGUGCUACACUAUGAUCACUAAAUAGAAGAAGCAUAGAAUUAUUUGUACUGACUGCUUAAAAGUGCAUAAGAAAUUAUAGGUGAAGAAUGACUUUUCUACCACCCUGCUGUCAUAUGAACGAAAGCAGUAAGAAUGUUUAGAGGCAGAAAUGCAGUACAGGAAGACAAGUUUAACAAGAGUAAAUUAGAUGCAGGCGAUAGAUAUCCCCAGUAUUAGGGUAGACUUUGCGGAUUUCUGCUGUCCCACAGCACAUUCUUGAGUGUUCGCCCCGUGCUUCCUUGUUUUUUAAAAUGUAUUUUGACUCAGUGUGCAUAGAUGCCCUUGACUGGGCCAUGCUCCCACAAGACGCACUGGGAGCACUGUGAGAAAAAUUCGCUUUGGGCACCCUCAAUUCCUUUUUAAAAAUGAAUUUAUGAUGUCAAGCUAAAUGAGCUGAGAAAAGGGAACCAGCAACAAUCUUCACCGUGGAAUUAAAAGCCAACUAAUGAGGCUGCAGAACUACGGAAACCCAGGGAAGGCAACAGUCCCUGUGAAGUACCAUUCAUAAAGGAAGGCUAAGGGCAAGCCGCCCAGCCAAU
RNAcentral lists this long non-coding RNA (4472 nucleotides) under Podarcis lilfordi (Lilford's wall lizard). The record is from RNAcentral. Lineage: Eukaryota; Metazoa; Chordata; Lepidosauria; Squamata; Lacertidae.